This is a non-coding RNA of Camellia sinensis, 614 nucleotides long. The record is from RefSeq and is a predicted model, not a curated record. Lineage: Eukaryota; Viridiplantae; Streptophyta; Magnoliopsida; Ericales; Theaceae.
CGUCCGACGAUCUACACCGAACGGCGAUCGAUCUAUAUUAAACGCCGAUUGAUCAAUACUAAACGGUGAUCUACACUGAGAUUACAACACAGCCGAUUCGGAAAGCUGCAGAGGUUAUAUUGUCUCCAUUUGACCUUUCUUGCCAGACAAAUGGGACCGCUUGGUUGUCUACCAGAAGAAUUCUACUCCUUCCUCAUCGAAGUAGCUGUGCAUCCUCCUAGAAAUUUCCAACAUCGGUGCUUCAUAUCGUUGUUGUGCUGGACACCUGUGCUGACCUCUUCAUCAAUUCGUGCCACUUGUACCGCUGCUGUCGAGGCGGUGGCUUCUCACCCAGGCUUGUUCCUGAAGUCCUAAGCUAUUAAGAGGUGUAAAUUGUUCAAUUUCAUUGCUGCAAAAUCACUAUCAGUUUUAUCAAAGAUACAGAAAAGGUAUGCUCUUCUUCCAUUGCCAUUUUUCAGUUGUUGUUAAAUGUAAAACAUAUAUUCAUUCUUCCAUUGUCACUAUUGUUGUUGUUGGUAGUGUAUUUGUUGCUAUUUUUUUGGUCUAUGCUUGUAACUGUUGUUGUUUUUCAUUCUCUUCCUCUUGUCUUUUUGCAAUUAUUUCUAACUUGUUUA